UACGAAGGGGGCUAGCGUUGCUCGGAAUCACUGGGCGUAAAGCGCACGUAGGCGGCUUUCUAAGUCAGGGGUGAAAUCCUGGAGCUCAACUCCAGAACUGCCUUUGAUACUGGAGAGCUUGAGUCCGGAAGAGGUGAGUGGAACUCCGAGUGUAGAGGUGAAAUUCGUAGAUAUUCGCAAGAACACCAGUGGCGAAGGCGACUUCCUGGCCUGUUCUUGACGCUGAGGCGCGAAAGCUAGGGGAGCAAACGGG
Molecule: ribosomal RNA, 253 nt
Filed under: uncultured bacterium
Lineage: Bacteria
Description: partial 16S ribosomal RNA
Rfam family: Bacterial small subunit ribosomal RNA
Source: RNAcentral